AUUGAACGCUGGCGGCAUGCCUUACACAUGCAAGUCGAACGGCAGCGGACCUUCGGGUGCCGGCGAGUGGCGAACGGGUGAGUAAUAUAUCGGAACGUACCUUUCAGUGGGGGAUAACGUAGCGAAAGUUACGCUAAUACCGCAUAUUCUGUGAGCAGGAAAGCAGGGGAUCGCAAGACCUUGCGCUGAUUGAGCGGCCGAUAUCAGAUUAGCUAGUUGGUGAGGUAAAGGCUCACCAAGGCGACGAUCUGUAGCGGGUCUGAGAGGAUGAUCCGCCACACUGGAACUGAGACACGGUCCAGACUCCUACGGGAGGCAGCAGUGGGGAAUUUUGGACAAUGGGCGCAAGCCUGAUCCAGCCAUGCCGCGUGAGUGAAGAAGGCCUCGGUUGUAAAGACUCUUUCGGUCCGGGUAACGAAAGUACGCACAGUUAAGUAACCUCGUGUGGAGUGACGGUACCGGAAGUAAGAAGACACCGGACGUAACCUAACGUA
This 494-nucleotide ribosomal RNA is filed under the name uncultured bacterium. RNAcentral's name for it is "bacterial SSU rRNA". It matches the Rfam family "Bacterial small subunit ribosomal RNA", at positions 30 to 509 of the family's 1533-position model. The record is from RNAcentral.